AUUGAACGCUGGCGGCAGGCCUAACACAUGCAAGUCGAACGGUAACAGGAAGAAGCUUGCUUCUUUGCUGACGAGUGGCGGACGGGUGAGUAAUGUCUGGGAAACUGCCUGAUGGAGGGGGAUAACUACUGGAAACGGUAGCUAAUACCGCAUAACGUCGCAAGACCAAAGAGGGGGACCUUCGGGCCUCUUGCCAUCGGAUGUGCCCAGAUGGGAUUAGCUAGUAGGUGGGGUAACGGCUCACCUAGGCGACGAUCCCUAGCUGGUAUGAGAGGAUGACCAGCCACACGGGAACUGAGACACGGUCCAGACUCCUACGGGAGGCAGCAGUGGGGAAUAUUGCACAAUGGGCGAAAGCCUGAUGCAGCCAUGCCGCGUGUAUGAAGAAGGCCUUCGGGUUGUAAAGUACUUUCGGCGGGGAGGAAGGGAGUAAAGUUAAUACCUUUACUCAUUGACGUUACCCGCAGAAGAAGCACCGGCUAACUCCGUG
Molecule: ribosomal RNA, 490 nt
Filed under: uncultured bacterium
Lineage: Bacteria
Description: partial 16S ribosomal RNA
Rfam family: Bacterial small subunit ribosomal RNA
Source: RNAcentral